RNAcentral lists this unclassified non-coding RNA (387 nucleotides) under soil metagenome. RNAcentral describes it as "partial contains 5.8S ribosomal RNA, internal transcribed spacer 2, and large subunit ribosomal RNA". The stretch from base 1 to 120 matches the Rfam family "5.8S ribosomal RNA", at positions 35 to 154 of the family's 154-position model. The record is from RNAcentral.
GAUGAAGAACGUAGCGAAAUGCGAUAAGUAAUGUGAAUUGCAGAAUUCAGUGAAUCAUCGAAUCUUUGAACGCACUUUGCACCCUUUGGCAUUCCGAAGGGUAUGCUCGUUUGAGUGUCAUUGUACUCUCACACUCUCCGAUCCUAUGGAUUCGGGGAGCGGUGGACUUGGGUGUUGCUGCCUUUCCCUGUGGCUCACCUCAAAUGCGUCAGUGCACCUCUUGGUUGGACAUAGUACGGCGUGAUAAGUGUCUUCGCCGGCACCUCGCAAGAGGGUGGCCGAUCGGGAGCUCUGCGCUUUCAAACCGUCUUCGGACAAUUUCUGACAUCUUGACCUCAAAUCGAGUAGGACUACCCGCUGAACUUAAGCAUAUCAAUAAGCGGAGGA